GGCGGCUAAAACCAACACGUUCCCGUCGUAGUCGCUGUGAGUAAUUGUGUGAGAACACAAUGAAACUAAGUUGGU
RNAcentral lists this non-coding RNA (75 nucleotides) under unclassified sequences. The record is from RNAcentral.